Delphinapterus leucas (beluga whale) is the source of this 874-nucleotide long non-coding RNA. RefSeq lists it as uncharacterized. Lineage: Eukaryota; Metazoa; Chordata; Mammalia; Artiodactyla; Monodontidae. The record is from RefSeq and is a predicted model, not a curated record.
AUUAUGGAGAAAACGCUGAGCAAAAGGAGUCAAGAGCAGAGAAAGUUCCAUGCACUUAGCUGCCUUGCCCGGGACUCAGCCAUACCACCUCAGGCUCCUGGACUGGCCCGGCUGCUACUCCUCGGUUCACCCUUUCCUCACUGGACACUGAGUUGCCUUCCUCUCAGGAGGACACCAGGGAGGUCAUCGUGAGGUUUAUUAUGCUCCUGGCUCCCCUUCCUCUGCAACUUCACAGCCCAGUUUCCAUGUGGGAAAGGACCCUGGGGAUUGGCUGAUUCAAGCCCUUCAUUCCACUGCAAGGAAACCAAGGUCCAGUGACUUGACCAGGGUCCCACUGCAGGUCAGAAGCCCCACCAGAACCACACUGGCCUCUGAGAUGCUUCUCACCCUUUCAUGCUGCCUCCCUGGAAUUUGGCCUUCUCGUCCUGAAACCAACUGCCCUGUAGACUUCUGCAUGACGUGGGGCCCUGCUACCCAAGCCAUGCUUUGGUUUUCAAGCCUGUCUUAAGAUACGCCUCAACAGUAACCCUACGAUUUGCCUUUGCCUGUCCGAAGCCCAUGCCAUCACCUCCCCAAAGGACUGGGAUUUGCAAUUUUGUGCUGCCCUCUAGUGUCGGACUGCGGGAACAGACCCUGGCCUUAGGCAGCGAGAGUGAGGGACAAUUUUAGAGACAAUAGUGGACCUAGCUUCCUGAUCUCAGUGCUUCACUUAAGGGGAAAAGGGACCCAACUUCCUGAGUGUUUACUAUGUGCUGGGGACGGGGUGCAGUGGUUUAUUUCAUUCUUAUUUAAUCUUCCCAGAUGGUAGUAUCUUUGUUUUAUAGACAGGAGCCUGAGGCUUAGAGAUUCAAAAAAAAAAAAAAAAAAAAGACAA